This 422-nucleotide long non-coding RNA is filed under the name Homo sapiens (human). RNAcentral describes it as "long non-coding RNA NONHSAT029339.2". The record is from RNAcentral. Lineage: Eukaryota; Metazoa; Chordata; Mammalia; Primates; Hominidae.
GUGUUCAGUGGCGAUUGGAGGGUAGACCUGUGGGCACGGACGCACGCCACUUUUUCUCUGCUGAUCCAGCAAAUGUGCAAUACCAACAUGUCUGUACCUACUGAUGGUGCUGUAACCACCUCACAGAUUCCAGCUUCGGAACAAGAGACCCUGUUAGACCAAAGCCAUUGCUUUUGAAGUUAUUAAAGUCUGUUGGUGCACAAAAAGACACUUAUACUAUGAAAGAGAUCUUGAUGCUGGUGUAAGUGAACAUUCAGGUGAUUGGUUGGAUCAGGAUUCAGUUUCAGAUCAGUUUAGUGUAGAAUUUGAAGUUGAAUCUCUCGACUCAGAAGAUUAUAGCCUUAGUGAAGAAGGACAAGAACUCUCAGAUGAAGAUGAUGAGACUAUUGGAAAUGCACUUCAUGCAAUGAAAUGAAUCCCCC